UACGGGGGGGGCAAGCGUUGUUCGGAAUUACUGGGCGUAAAGGGCUCGUAGGCGGCCACCUAAGUCAGACGUGAAAUCCCCAGGCUCAACCUGGGAACUGCGUCUGAUACUGGAUGGCUUGAAUCCGGGAGAGGGAUGCAGAAUUCCAGGUGUAGCGGUGAAAUGCGUAGAUAUCUGGAGGAAUACCGGUGGCGAAGGCGGCAUCCUGGACCGGCACUGACACUGAGGCACGAAAGCGUGGGGAGCAAACAGG
This 253-nucleotide ribosomal RNA is filed under the name uncultured bacterium. RNAcentral's name for it is "partial 16S ribosomal RNA". It matches the Rfam family "Bacterial small subunit ribosomal RNA", at positions 524 to 776 of the family's 1533-position model. The record is from RNAcentral.